Molecule: ribosomal RNA, 406 nt
Filed under: uncultured bacterium
Lineage: Bacteria
Description: partial 16S ribosomal RNA
Rfam family: Bacterial small subunit ribosomal RNA
Source: RNAcentral
AUUGAACGCUGGCGGCAGGCCUAACACAUGCAAGUCGAACGAGUGGCGGACGGGUGAGUAAUGUCUGGGAAACUGCCUGAUGGAGGGGGAUAACUACUGGAAACGGUAGCUAAUACCGCAUACCAUCGGAUGUGCCCAGAUGGGAUUCGCUAGUAGGUGGGGUAACGGCUCACCUAGGCGACGAUCCCUCGCUGGUCUUAAAGGAGGACCAGCCACACUGGAACUGAGACACGGUCCAGACUCUUACGUGAGGCAGCAGGGGGGAAUAUUGCACAAUGGGCGCAAGCCGUAUGCAGCCAUGCCGCGUGUAUGAAGAAGGCCUUCGGGUUGUAAAGUACUUUCAGCGGGGAGGCGUUACUCGCAGAAGAAGCACCGGCGAACUCCGUGCCAGCAGCCGCGGUAAUUC